Molecule: ribosomal RNA, 465 nt
Filed under: uncultured bacterium
Lineage: Bacteria
Description: partial 16S ribosomal RNA
Rfam family: Bacterial small subunit ribosomal RNA
Source: RNAcentral
GACGAACGCUGGCGGCGUGCUUAACACAUGCAAGUCGAACGGAAAGGCCCUGCUUGCAGGGUACUCGAGUGGCGAACGGGUGAGUAACACGUGGGUGAUCUGCCCUGCACUUCGGGAUAAGCUUGGGAAACUGGGUCUAAUACCGGAUAGGAGCCAUCUUUAGUGUGGUGGUUGGAAAGUUUUUUCGGUGUAGGAUGAGCUCGCGGCCUAUCAGCUUGUUGGUGGGGUAAUGGCCUACCAAGGCGGCGACGGGUAGCCGGCCUGAGAGGGUGUACGGCCACAUUGGGACUGAGAUACGGCCCAGACUCCUACGGGAGGCAGCAGUGGGGAAUAGUGCACAAUGGGCGCAAGCCUGAUGCAGCGACGCCGCGUGGGGGAUGAAGGCCUUCGGGUUGGAAACUCCGUUCGCUAGGGACGAAGCUUUUUGUGACGGUACCUAGAGAAGAAGCACCGGCUAACUACGUG